CCUACGGGAGGCAGCAGUAGGGAAUCUUUCACAAUGGGCGAAAGCCUGAUGGAGCAACGCCGCGUGCAGGAUGAAGGCCUUCGGGUUGUAAACUGCUUUUAUAAGCGAGAAAUAUGAUGGUAACUUAUGAAUAAGGAUCGGCUAACUACGUGCCAGCAGCCGCGGUCAUACGUAGGAUCCGAGCAUUAUCCGGAGUGACUGGGUGUAAAGAGUUGCGUAGGUGGCAUAAUAAGUAGCUAGGGAAAUCUGGUGGCUCAACCAUUCAGACUAUUAGCUAAACUGUUAAGCUCGAGAACGUUAGGGGUAACUGGAAUUUCUAGUGUAGGAGUGAAAUCCGUAGAUAUUAGAAGGAACACCAAUAGCGUAGGCAGGUUACUGGGACGGUUCUGACACUAAGGCACGAAAGCGUAGGGAGCAAACGGGAUUAGAUACCCUUGUAGUC
Molecule: ribosomal RNA, 442 nt
Filed under: uncultured bacterium
Lineage: Bacteria
Description: partial 16S ribosomal RNA
Rfam family: Bacterial small subunit ribosomal RNA
Source: RNAcentral